AUGCAGGACAUUUUAAUGGUAGCGAUGAACACCAAAGUCUGCUCAGAUUCUGCUUCAGCAAUAUUCUGCAAAAAGACCUGGAUGAAUGUACAGAACUCUGGAACAAGCACAGAAUUCGGCAGUCAAGACUAGCAUCGUGUCCAGGGGGAGUAUCGGAUGAACUCUACUGCUUAUCACACAGAUUUGGAUCAAGGGAUUGUGGAUUUCCCAUUGGAGAUGAACUACAGGCUUUUUCUGUGACCAGUAUGACAAUUAACCCCUGUGGCAAUCCAGACAUGCAAGAAUAUUUAGAAUUGGUUGUAGAAGAAAAUGCACUACAAUGGCCAGGAGACUGGGAGACAGCUACAGACCUAUACAUUACUCUUAAAGGAAUUGCAUGACUAUAGAUGUUAUUUUUAUUCAAGUUAAAUCAAAUGCUUCAGAACAGAAAAGGAAGUCACUCAGAUAUCACUGGAACAACUCUGUAUACAGUACAAUAUUUGAAGAGUUUUUAACUCUAAUAAAAUCAGAAACUUGCAUUGA
Paramormyrops kingsleyae is the source of this 522-nucleotide non-coding RNA. The record is from RefSeq and is a predicted model, not a curated record. NCBI's taxonomy places the organism in Eukaryota, Metazoa, Chordata, Actinopteri, Osteoglossiformes, Mormyridae.